UAGACUCUUGUUACAUAGGUGCACAGAAUUCAGCCUUUCUGCAACAGGCUUCUUACAUAACUGGUGGUGUACAUCAUAAGCCGCAAAAUUUGGAUGGGUUGUUUCAAUAUCUUAUGACUAUCUUUGCUACUGACUUGCAUUCUCGCAGUUUCAUACAUCUUCCAAAGUCAGUUGGUGUAUAGUUUCGUGCCUC
Hibiscus syriacus is the source of this 193-nucleotide long non-coding RNA. RefSeq lists it as uncharacterized. NCBI's taxonomy places the organism in Eukaryota, Viridiplantae, Streptophyta, Magnoliopsida, Malvales, Malvaceae. The record is from RefSeq and is a predicted model, not a curated record. The transcript has 3 exons.